UGAGACACGGCCCAGACUCCUACGGGAGGCAGCAGUAGGGAAUCUUCCACAAUGGACGAAAGUCUGAUGGAGCAACGCCGCGUGAGUGAUGAAGGUUUUCGGAUCGUAAAACUCUGUUGUAAGGGAAGAACACGUACGAGAGGGAAUGCUCGUACCUUGACGGUACCUUACGAGAAAGCCACGGCUAACUACGUGCCAGCAGCCGCGGUAAUACGUAGGUGGCAAGCGUUGUCCGGAAUUAUUGGGCGUAAAGCGCGCGCAGGCGGCCUUUUAAGUCUGAUGUGAAAGCCCCCGGCUCAACCGGGGAGGGCCAUUGGAAACUGGAAGGCUUGAGUACAGAAGAGAAGAGUGGAAUUCCACGUGUAGCGGUGAAAUGCGUAGAGAUGUGGAGGAACACCAGUGGCGAAGGCGACUCUUUGGUCUGUAACUGACGCUGAGGCGCGAAAGCGUGGGGAGCAA
RNAcentral lists this ribosomal RNA (459 nucleotides) under Exiguobacterium sp. RNAcentral describes it as "bacterial SSU rRNA". It matches the Rfam family "Bacterial small subunit ribosomal RNA", at positions 320 to 771 of the family's 1533-position model. The record is from RNAcentral. Lineage: Bacteria; Bacillati; Bacillota; Bacilli; Caryophanales.